AACGAACGCUGGCGGCAUGCCUAACACAUGCAAGUCGAACGAGACCUUCGGGUCUAGUGGCGCACGGGUGCGUAACGCGUGGGAACCUGCCCUUAGGCUCGGAAUAACUCCCCGAAAGGGGUGCUAAUACCGGAUAAUGUCCUCGGACCAAACAUUUAUCGUCUUUGGAUGGGCCCGCGUUGUAUUAGCUAGGUGGUAGGGUAAAAGCCUACCAAGGCGACGAUCCAUAGCUGGUCUGAGAGGAAGAACAGCGACACUGAGACUGAGAUGCGGCCCAGACUCCUACAGGAGGCAGGAGUGGGGAAUAUUGGACAAUCGGCGAAAGCCUGAUCCAGCAAUGCCGCGUGAGUGAUGAAGGCCUUAGAGUUGUAAAGCUCUUUUACCCGGGAUGAUAAUGACAGUACCGAAAGAAUAAGCUCCGGCUAACUCCGUG
This 433-nucleotide ribosomal RNA is filed under the name uncultured bacterium. RNAcentral's name for it is "partial 16S ribosomal RNA". It matches the Rfam family "Bacterial small subunit ribosomal RNA", at positions 29 to 507 of the family's 1533-position model. The record is from RNAcentral.